This 690-nucleotide ribosomal RNA is filed under the name Exiguobacterium profundum. RNAcentral's name for it is "bacterial SSU rRNA". It matches the Rfam family "Bacterial small subunit ribosomal RNA", at positions 25 to 686 of the family's 1533-position model. Lineage: Bacteria; Bacillati; Bacillota; Bacilli; Caryophanales. The record is from RNAcentral.
CAGGACGAACGCUGGCGGCGUGCCUAAUACAUGCAAGUCGAGCGCAGGAAGCCGUCUGAACCCUUCGGGGGGACGACGGUGGAAUGAGCGGCGGACGGGUGAGUAACACGUAAAGAACCUGCCCAUAGGUCUGGGAUAACCACGAGAAAUCGGGGCUAAUACCGGAUGUGUCAUCGGACCGCAUGGUCCGCUGAUGAAAGGCGCUUCGGCGUCGCCCAUGGAUGGCUUUGCGGUGCAUUAGCUAGUUGGUGGGGUAACGGCCCACCAAGGCGACGAUGCAUAGCCGACCUGAGAGGGUGAUCGGCCACACUGGGACUGAGACACGGCCCAGACUCCUACGGGAGGCAGCAGUAGGGAAUCUUCCACAAUGGACGAAAGUCUGAUGGAGCAACGCCGCGUGAACGAUGAAGGCUUUCGGGUCGUAAAGUUCUGUUGUAAGGGAAGAACAAGUGCCGCAGGCAAUGGCGGCACCUUGACGGUACCUUGCGAGAAAGCCACGGCUAACUACGUGCCAGCAGCCGCGGUAAUACGUAGGUGGCAAGCGUUGUCCGGAAUUAUUGGGCGUAAAGCGCGCGCAGGCGGCCUCUUAAGUCUGAUGUGAAAGCCCCCGGCUCAACCGGGGAGGGCCAUUGGAAACUGGGAGGCUUGAGUAUAGGAGAGAAGAGUGGAAUUCCACGUGUAGCGGUGAAA